This 116-nucleotide small RNA is filed under the name Sinorhizobium meliloti 2011. RNAcentral's name for it is "putative ncRNA". Lineage: Bacteria; Pseudomonadati; Pseudomonadota; Alphaproteobacteria; Hyphomicrobiales; Rhizobiaceae. The record is from RNAcentral.
ACUGAAUGACUUCAACUGCUGCAUCGGGACGCCUGCCGAGGCCCAUAUUGCGCUUCAAGUUAUCGCCAAUCGCGUAGGCGAGGCUGUUCGGCGUGAGACCGGCGGCAGGGAUUGCC